GGCACCCGAGCGGGAGAGCCCCGCCUGUGCCGCGCAGCCGCUCCCCGCCCCGGCCCUGCGCUCGUCUCUCCAGCAAGGCACUGCUUUUUGGGCUUCGGGUCCAAAAACACGUCCUUGAGAUAAUGAACGCAAGUCUCAACUUUCUGUGGAAAUCCCUGCUCUAAGAAGACAUGAGCUCUGUCUUCACUUUCAGCCUCAGAAGGCAGCAGCUGAAGAAUGACCCAAAAAUAAAAUUCUGAUGAUGAAAAGAUACUUGCCAAAAACCAUCUGAGCCCUCCAGCUUCUCCAGAUUUAUCCUGCAAGAUACCAGCAGCCUGGGAAUGAAACGAUGGGAGACAUUUAAGGCACUAAAUUACUAAUGUAGAGUGCACAUCUCUUGUUCAGGAGAUGAGAAUCAAAGAUGCUUUCUCUGUAAAACAGAAAUCAGAGGCUGUUCUUUAUAUUUGGAAGACUGUAUCAUUAACUUCAGUACAAAAAGGUAGCCCCACGAAAUAUUAGAAAACAGGAUGCAAAAAAAUGAUGCCAGGAAUGGCCAACUCUCAAUCUGAUAACCACACCACUGGAAGGAAAAAGGAUCCUUCAGGAUCAUUCCUCAAAAAUGAUUGUAGACUCCUGUUGCCCAUUUCCAAACAUUUAGCUCAAAUGAAUGCAGUAAUUCACAGUUCACAUCGAGUUUGAGGUUCAGAAUUUGUAACGUACAGUUCACUUGGGAUUUAAAUACAUGGUCAGUAAGUUGAACAACUUCUGAAACAUCCACCUUUCAUUUAAAA
Molecule: long non-coding RNA, 770 nt
Organism: Apus apus (common swift)
Lineage: Eukaryota; Metazoa; Chordata; Aves; Apodiformes; Apodidae
Exons: 3
Source: RefSeq, a predicted model, not a curated record